RNAcentral lists this ribosomal RNA (376 nucleotides) under uncultured bacterium. RNAcentral's name for it is "bacterial SSU rRNA". It matches the Rfam family "Bacterial small subunit ribosomal RNA", at positions 523 to 898 of the family's 1533-position model. The record is from RNAcentral.
ACACGUAGGAGGCGAGCGUUAUCCGGAUUUAUUGGGCGUAAAGCGCAUGCAGGUGGCUAGGUAAGUCGGGUGUGAAAGCCCCGGACUUAAUCCGGGGAGGUCAUUCGAUACUGCUUGGCUUGAGAGCGGGAGAGGGAAGUGGAAUUCUCGGUGUAGUGGUGAUAUGCGUAGAUAUCGAGAGGAACACCAGUGGCGAAGGCGGCUUCCUGGCCCGUUUCUGACACUAAGAUGCGAAAGCGUGGGUAGCAAACGGACUUAGAUACUCCGGUAGUCCACGCCGUAAACGAUGGGUACUAGGUGUAGGGGGUGUAAAACUCUCUGUGCCACAGCUAACGCACUAAGUACCCCGCCUGGGGACUACGGCCGCAAGGUUAAA